CGGGGGGAGCAAGCGUUGUUCGGAUUUACUGGGCGUAAAGGGCGCGUAGGCGGCCACCGCAAGUCGGUUGUGAAAUCUCCGGGCUUAACCCGGAAAGGUCAAUCGAUACUGCGGGGCUAGAGUGCAGAAGGGGCAACUGGAGUUCUCGGUGUAGCGGUGAAAUGCGUAGAUAUCGAGAGGAACACCUGCGGCGAAGGCGGGUUGCUGGGCUGACACUGACGCUGAAGCGCGAAAGCUAGGGGAGCGAACGGGAUUAGAUACCCCGGUAGUCCUAGCCUUAAACGAUGAAUGCUUGGUGUCUGGGGUUUUAUAGUCCCCGGGUGCCGUCGCUAACGCUUUAAGCAUUCCGCCUGGGGAGUACGGUCGCAAGACUG
This 374-nucleotide ribosomal RNA is filed under the name uncultured organism. RNAcentral's name for it is "bacterial SSU rRNA". It matches the Rfam family "Bacterial small subunit ribosomal RNA", at positions 526 to 896 of the family's 1533-position model. The record is from RNAcentral.